RNAcentral lists this ribosomal RNA (395 nucleotides) under uncultured bacterium. Its description in RNAcentral is "bacterial SSU rRNA". It matches the Rfam family "Bacterial small subunit ribosomal RNA", at positions 505 to 898 of the family's 1533-position model. The record is from RNAcentral.
GUGUCAGCCGCCGCGGUAAUACAGGGGGGUCGAGCGUUGUUCGGAAUUACUGGGCGUAAAGGGUUUGUAGGUGGCUUGCUCAGUCAGACGUGAAAUCCCUCAGCUUAACUGGGGAACUGCGUCUGAUACUAGCGAGCUUGAGUGCAGGAGAGGAACGCGGAAUUCCAGGUGUAGCGGUGAAAUGCGUAGAUAUCUGGAGGAACACCGGUGGCGAAGGCGGCGUUCUGGACUGCAACUGACACUGAAAAACGAAAGCCAGGGGAGCAAACGGGAUUAGAUACCCCGGUAGUCCUGGCCCUAAACGAUGAAUGCUUGGUGUGGCGGGUAUCGAUCCCUGCCGUGCCGUAGUUAACGCGAUAAGCAUUCCGCCUGGGGAGUACGGUCGCAAGGCUGAA